Molecule: microRNA precursor, 92 nt
Organism: Chlorocebus sabaeus (green monkey)
Lineage: Eukaryota; Metazoa; Chordata; Mammalia; Primates; Cercopithecidae
Source: Ensembl
AUGUAUUAGGUUGGUGCAAAAGUAAUUGCAGUUUUUGCCAUUACUUUCAAAGGUAAAAAACCACAAUUACUUUUGCAGCAACCUAAUAAAUA